RNAcentral lists this long non-coding RNA (1167 nucleotides) under Carassius auratus (goldfish). RNAcentral describes it as "lncRNA (ENSCARG00000022561.1)". Lineage: Eukaryota; Metazoa; Chordata; Actinopteri; Cypriniformes; Cyprinidae. The record is from RNAcentral.
AUGAGUCUACUCCCCCAAACUACUGUUUUAAGCAUGAGCCCCGUCAGACUGGUCGUGGCGGAGGUGUUGCAACAAUAUAUAGUGAUAUUCUCAAUGUUCGCAAAUAACCUGCCUGAUCUAUCUCAACUGCUAUUUGUACCCAAAAAUACACAUGAAUUAGACAAAAUUACUGACAACAUGGGCACUAUUUUCUCUAAUACAUUAGAAGCUGUUGCCCCGAUCAAAUUGAAAAAGGUUAGAGAAAAACGUACUGUACCAUGGUAUAACAGUAAUACUCACUCUCUCAAGAAAGUAACUCAUAGUCUUGAAUGCAAAUGGAGAAAAACUAACUUAGAAGUUUUUAGAAUUGCAUGGAAAAACAGUAUGUCCAGCUACAGACAGGCUCUAAAAACUGCUAGGGCAGAGCAUAUACACAAACUCAUUGAAAAUAACCAAAACAAUCCAAGGUUUUUAUUGAGCACAGUGGCUAAAUUAACAAAUAACCAGAUGCCACCUGAUUCAAAUAUUCCACCAACAUUAAAUAGUAAUGAAUUUAUGAAUUUCUUCACUGAUAAAAUAGAGAACAUUAGAAAAACAAUAGCGAAUGUAGAUUCUACAGCGUCUAACACUUCAGUUUCAUCCAUCGCACCCAAAGAUAAACUGCAGUGCUUUACAUCCAUAGGACAGGAAGAGCUAAAUAAACUGAUCACUGUAUCUAAACCAACAACAUGUUUAUUAGAUCCUGUACCCACUAAAUUACUGAAAGAGCUGAUACCUGUAGCCGAAGAACCGCUUGUCAAUAUCAUUAACUCGUCGUUAUCUUUAGGUCACGUCCCAAAACCAUUCAAGCUGGUGGUUAUUAAGCCUCUUAUUAAGAAACCAAAACUAGAUCCUAGUGUACUGGCAAAUUAUAGGCCUAUUUCAAAUCUUCCAUUUAUGUCUAAAAUUUUAGAAAAAGUUGUGUCUGCUCAAUUGAGCACCUUCCUGCAUAAAAAUGAUCUGUAUGAAGAAUUUCAGUCAGGUUUCAGGCCCCACCAUAGCUACCAUUUUGUUUACUUAAAUGGAGAGUCAUCUCAUUUAUCAUCAGUAAAAUAUGGAGUGCCACAAGGAUCUGUCCUAGGUCCCCUUCUAUUUUCAAUAUACAUGUUGCCCCUUGGCAGUGUUGGGGCUAGUUACUCAAAAAAGUAA